RNAcentral lists this long non-coding RNA (286 nucleotides) under Gossypium barbadense (sea-island cotton). RNAcentral describes it as "long non-coding RNA (GBAR_LNC022606)". The record is from RNAcentral. Lineage: Eukaryota; Viridiplantae; Streptophyta; Magnoliopsida; Malvales; Malvaceae.
GUGCUUCCAUAAAAGAAAAUUAUGCUCAUCAAGCUUUAUUGUAUCGUGUUUAGGAAACUGUUGAAGACGUCUACCAACAAUAGAAGCGACUGAGCCUGAAUCUUGACAAGGAAGAUUUAUAUGUUCACCACCAGCAUUGGAGUGACUUUCUUCAACCACCUUAGACACAAUGACAAUUAACAAUUUUGCAGAAAAAAAAAUCAACAACAAAACCUUGAACAACUCUAAUACCAUGAAGAGAAAUAUCACAAAAGUUUUAUUAAACCAUUAUGAAAAUAAAAGAAAC